GCCAGGUAUGGUGGUGCACACCUAUAAUCCCAGCAGCUCGGGAGGCUGAGACAGGAGGAAUGCAAGUUUAAAGCCAGGCUUAGCAACUACGAGGUGCUAAGCAGCUCAGUGAGACCCUGUCUCUA
Molecule: small RNA, 125 nt
Filed under: Marmota monax (woodchuck)
Lineage: Eukaryota; Metazoa; Chordata; Mammalia; Rodentia; Sciuridae
Source: RNAcentral